AGAGCGAACGUUUGCGGCGGGCUUAACACAUGCAAGUCGCACGAGAACUCUCCCUUCGGGGAGGGGAAAGUGGCGCACGGGUGCGUAACACGUGGGUAACCAACCCUCUAGAUUGGGACAACCCGGGGAAACUCGGGCUAAUACCGGAUGUGGCUUCAGAGACUUCGGUCUUUGUCGUGAAAGGAGCAAUCCACUAGAGGACGGGCCCGCGGCCCAUCAGCUUGUUGGUGAGGUAAUGGCUCACCAAGGCUAAGACGGGUAGCUGGUCUGAGAGGAUGAUCAGCCACACUGGAACUGAGACACGGUCCAGACUCUACGGGAGGCAGCAGUGGGGAAUAUUGCGCAAUGGGCGAAAGCCUGACGCAGCCACGCCGCGUGAGCGAUGAAGGCCUGGUCGUAAAGACUCUGUGGGGAGGAAGAAACCGUAGACGAGUCCCUUACGCAAGCACCGCCGUAACUCCGCGCCACGCGAGCCGCC
Molecule: ribosomal RNA, 478 nt
Filed under: uncultured soil bacterium
Lineage: Bacteria
Description: bacterial SSU rRNA
Rfam family: Bacterial small subunit ribosomal RNA
Source: RNAcentral